CGACCUUUUGUAUAACGUGAGAGAUUUCACAUUAAAGUUUAAUAUUUCACCACCAACAACUGCCUUGACGUUUGAGAAAGAGAAAAAAACGCCGUUGUUUCUUACCUGAGACUCCAUCGAGAAGAUUAAAUAAACGUAUAUCGAGUAUUAUAAGAGCUCGGACGUGUCAGACUCGAUCAGACACGCACAGGUGUGACAGUCCGCAGGUAAAUCAUUUCUGUCUCGAUGUCACGUGACUCUCGUCGACGCCUAGACCAGAGGAUUUCAAGUUAAGCGCAUUUUGAUGGCCUUUUUUAAAACUUUUUUAAAAACUGCUUUAAGCAUGUUAGAAAAUAAAAAAUAAAAGUGAUUACAUUUUAGACGUCAGCUGAUAAAAGUUGCAAAUUCACCGUUUACUGGACUAAAAAUAAUAAUGAUUAAUUCUGACUGUACAGAACCUGGAGCGGAGCACGCUUUCGUAUCUGAAUUAGCGUGUUUGUUGUUCCUCUGAAAGGAAACGAAACUAGCUUAUAAACGAUUUUUUUUAUUACAGGAAAUGCAUUUAUUUACUUUUCAUAACAUGAAACUUGUUUACUAGCGCUGCACGUGUGCGCGAAUCAGGGGCGGUGAAACGAACUACUCCUCCGCUGAGCGACAGCUCCCUCAGCCAAUCACAACGCUAGGUGCGCUGCAGCAGCCAAUCAGAGUGCGGGAUUGCCAGAGGGGGCGUCCACGCACACGCGGAAGUUAGUAUGUAGCUGGGUAGCGGUCGCCGUGUGUUUUCCAAACACAUCAUGAGAAAUAUCAUAUUCCGUUUGACUGAAUCGAUUAUUUAAAUAUUUUAAUAUCUAAAGGACAUCAUGAGUGGCACGUGCAGGGAGGUAGUUACACUGCAGCUGGGGAAUUAUUUCAACUUAAUCGGGACGCACUGGUGGAAUUUACAGGGUUUAGACUCCUGUCAGCUUUUACUAAAGACAUACAGUGAAACAGUUAUUCUGCAGCUGAUCUUAAUACACGUGCAUUUGUAGGAGUUUCCCUUUCAGACGCCUUCUGAGAUGAGUGACAGCUUUCUAAU
RNAcentral lists this long non-coding RNA (1054 nucleotides) under Carassius auratus (goldfish). RNAcentral's name for it is "lncRNA (ENSCARG00000043414.1)". The record is from RNAcentral. Lineage: Eukaryota; Metazoa; Chordata; Actinopteri; Cypriniformes; Cyprinidae.